CUUGGGAGCCAACCUGUGACUGUACAUUUGGGAAUUCACUCACUCGCAGUUGUUGGCAGCCCUGGC
This 66-nucleotide non-coding RNA is filed under the name Sus scrofa (pig). Lineage: Eukaryota; Metazoa; Chordata; Mammalia; Artiodactyla; Suidae. The record is from RNAcentral.